RNAcentral lists this ribosomal RNA (691 nucleotides) under Psydrax dicoccos. RNAcentral describes it as "eukaryotic LSU rRNA". The stretch from base 288 to 443 matches the Rfam family "5.8S ribosomal RNA". The record is from RNAcentral. Lineage: Eukaryota; Viridiplantae; Streptophyta; Magnoliopsida; Gentianales; Rubiaceae.
UCCGUAGGUGACCUGCGGAAGGAUCAUUGUCGAAGCCUGAAACGGACGACCGCGAACACGUUGUCACAGCCGUGCCGCGGGGAAGCCGAGCGGAGAGACUUAACCCUCCCCGUCGUCGUCCUCCCCCGGCGCGCCCCGUCCGUGCGGGCGCGAGAGCGCUCGCCCGGGCGAACACCUAACCCCGGCGCGGAAAGCGCCAAGGAAAACUCAAAACGAUUGCCCGGCCCCCGAUUGUCCCGUGCGCGGGGCGCAAGAGGGGGCGUCGCGGCAUCCGUCGUAACCAAAACGACUCUCGGCAACGGAUAUCUCGGCUCUCGCAUCGAUGAAGAACGUAGCGAAAUGCGAUACUUGGUGUGAAUUGCAGAAUCCCGCGAACCAUCGAGUCUUUGAACGCAAGUUGCGCCCGAAGCCAUUAGGCCGAGGGCACGUCUGCCUGGGCGUCACGCAUCGCGUCGCCACCCCCCCUCGUGCGGGGCGGCGGAGAUUGGCCUCCCGUGCCCGAAGGGUGCGGCCGGCCUAAAUGCGGGUCCUCGGCGGGGGCGUCACGACUAGUGGUGGUUGAAUUCCUCAACUCGAGUCCUCGUCGUGCCGUUCUCCCUCGCCGUCUCUCGGACUCACUCGACCCCCCGUGCGCGCGCCUCGAACGCGAGCCUCGACCGCGACCCCAGGUCAGGCGGGAUUACCCGCUGAG